This 445-nucleotide ribosomal RNA is filed under the name uncultured bacterium. RNAcentral describes it as "partial 16S ribosomal RNA". It matches the Rfam family "Bacterial small subunit ribosomal RNA", at positions 330 to 792 of the family's 1533-position model. The record is from RNAcentral.
UCCAGACUCCUACGGGAGGCAGCAGUGGGGAAUAUUGGGCAAUGGGCGAAAGCCUGACCCAGCAACGCCGCGUGAAGGAAGAAGGCUUUCGGGUUGUAAACUUCUUUUGUUAGAGAAGAUAAUGACGGUAUCUAACGAAUAAGCACCGGCUAACUCCGUGCCAGCAGCCGCGGUAAUACGGAGGGUGCAAGCGUUACUCGGAAUCACUGGGCGUAAAGAGCGCGUAGGCGGGAUAGCAAGUCAGAUGUGAAAUCCUAUGGCUUAACCAUAGAACUGCAUUUGAAACUGUUAUUCUAGAGUAUGGGAGAGGUAGGUGGAAUUCUUGGUGUAGGGGUAAAAUCCGUAGAGAUCAAGAGGAAUACUCAUUGCGAAGGCGACCUGCUAGAACAUAACUGACGCUGAUGCGCGAAAGCGUGGGGAGCAAACAGGAUUAGAUACCCCUGUA